GCCUUCUUAGUUAAGUGGUAUAACAGUUGCCUUGUAAGCAUCUGUCGGUGGUUCGAUUCCAUCAGGGGGCA
RNAcentral lists this transfer RNA (71 nucleotides) under Pantoea phage vB_PagS_AAS21. It matches the Rfam family "tRNA". From Rfam's summary of the family: Transfer RNA (tRNA) molecules are approximately 80 nucleotides in length. The record is from Rfam by way of RNAcentral. Lineage: Duplodnaviria; Heunggongvirae; Uroviricota; Caudoviricetes; Demerecviridae.